This 1405-nucleotide ribosomal RNA is filed under the name Lactobacillus sp. AcjLac10. RNAcentral's name for it is "bacterial SSU rRNA". It matches the Rfam family "Bacterial small subunit ribosomal RNA", at positions 39 to 1372 of the family's 1533-position model. The record is from RNAcentral. Lineage: Bacteria; Bacillati; Bacillota; Bacilli; Lactobacillales; Lactobacillaceae.
GGGGCCCGAACAUUCGUAUCUGCAGUCGAACGAGCUCUCCCAAAUUGAUUUUAUGCUUGCAUAAAUGAUUUUUGGAUUCGGAGCGAGUGGCGAACUGGUGAGUAACACGUGGGUAACCUGCCCCGAAGCGGGGGAUAACAUUUGGAAACAAGUGCUAAUACCGCAUAAUUAGUUGGGAACGCGCAUGGUUCCAACUUGAAAGAUGGCUCUGCUAUCACUUUGGGAUGGACCGCGCGCCGUAUUAGUUAGUUGGUGAGAUAAAAGCCCACCAAGACGAUGAUAACGUAGCCGACCUGAGAGGGUAAUCGGCCACAUUGGGACUGAGACACGGCCCAGACUCCUACGGGAGGCAGCAGUAGGGAAUCUUCCACAAUGGACGAAAGUCUGAUGGAGCAACGCCGCCGUGAGUGAUGAAGGUUUUCGGAUCGUAAAACUCUGUUGUUAAAGAAGAACAAGUGUUAGAGUAACUGUUAACACUUUGACGGUAUUUAACCAGAAAGCCACGGCUAACUACGUGCCAGCAGCCGCGGUAAUACGUAGGUGGCAAGCGUUGUCCGGAUUUAUUGGGCGUAAAGCGAGCGCAGGCGGUUUUGUAAGUCUGCUGUGAAAGCCCUCAGCUCAACUGAGGAAGUGCAGUGGAAACUACAAAACUUGAGUACAGAAGAGGAAAGUGGAACUCCAUGUGUAGCGGUGAAAUGCGUAGAUAUAUGGAAGAACACCAGUGGCGAAGGCGGCUUUCUGGUCUGUUACUGACGCUGAGGCUCGAAAGCAUGGGUAGCGAACAGGAUUAGAUACCCUGGUAGUCCAUGCCGUAAACGAUGAAUACUAGGUGUUGGAGGGUUUCCGCCCUUCAGUGCCGCAGCUAACGCAUUAAGUAUUCCGCCUGGGGAGUACGACCGCAAGGUUGAAACUCAAAGGGAAUUGACGGGGGCCCGCACAAGUGGUGGAGCAUGUGGUUUAUUUCGAUGCUACGCGAAGAACCCUUACCAGCUCUUUGACAUCUUUCUGCCAACCCAAGAGAUUGGGGCGUUCCCUUCCGGGGACAGAAUGACAGGUGGUGCAAUGGAUUGUCGUCAGCUUCGUGUCGUGAGAUGUUGGGGUUAAAGUCCCCGGCAACCGAGCGCAACCCUUAUUAUUAGUUUGCCAGCCAUUUAGUUGGCCACCUCUAGUGAGACUGGCCUGGUGAAUUACCCGCGAGUAAGGGUUGAGAUGAACACAAACACGCAUGCCCCUUAUGAGCUGGGCUACACACGUGCUACAAUGGAUGGUACAACGAGUCGCGAAACCGCGAGGUCAAGCUAAUCUCUUAAAGCCAUUCUCAGUUCGGAUUGCAGGCUGCAACUCGCCUGCAUGAAGUUGGAAUGCACUAGUAAUCGUGGAUCAUGCAUGCUAUUCUUGAUUUGUU